RNAcentral lists this long non-coding RNA (246 nucleotides) under Prunus persica (peach). Its description in RNAcentral is "long non-coding RNA (PPER_LNC002564)". The record is from RNAcentral. Lineage: Eukaryota; Viridiplantae; Streptophyta; Magnoliopsida; Rosales; Rosaceae.
CUCAUUCAAACGGGGUCUAGCUAAGUGGAAAAUUGCUUUGACUCGUAAGCCAGUGGUCUUAGGUUUGAACCCCGAUGACACCUUUGUAGUAUGCGUGAGAAACCAUCUCAAACUUAUAUCCAUGUACAUAUGUACGUACACAUAUAUACACCCAUGCACUAAGGCAUGCAGAUAACUAUCCGUAUAUGCACAUUAGAAAAAGAUGACCAUUUUUUUCUUUUCCUAGGAAAAAGAUGACCAGCUGAC